Molecule: long non-coding RNA, 1205 nt
Organism: Gallus gallus (chicken)
Lineage: Eukaryota; Metazoa; Chordata; Aves; Galliformes; Phasianidae
Source: Ensembl
AUCUCUUGCUGGAGAUCCCUCCUUGAUGAAGCUUUUCCCCUGUGAACCUGGAAUCUUCUGAUACGGUGAUUUUUGGAUCUCUUUCCAAAAAGGCAGCAGGAACCUCUGUGUAACGUGGACUGUUUUACUGACAAGAUGUGAGGGGCACCAGGCAACCACAAUGGAGGUCUGACACAUGCAGUACAGGCUGUGAGUGAAUUCCUAAGACUGCCUUUUUAAAGCCCAAGCUCUGUCAAGCAUCUUCUAAACCAGUAUACUUUUAAAAAGGAGAGAUUUCUACUUGCUUUUCUGAGCUAGGCGUGCGAGAGAAGCCUCUUGCAAAGGUGCAGCUGAAUCAAGGUCAGGGAAUACCCUCACUGAGUCAUCUGAGAGUGUUUAUUUUCUGUUUGCCUUCUGAUGUGCAACAUAGCCCUGGCUUGGCUGUUGUCCUGUCUGGGCAUCUGGAAAGAAAGGACAAGAAAGUGGUGUGGCUGCUGCCAGGCUUCGCUUACCUGAUGAUGAACAACUUAUGCUGCAUUUCUGCUGUUACUGGGGCUCCCCACAGGCACCCGUGCUCCAGUUCUGUCACUAAGAAUGAAGCAAGAAGAGAAAUGCUGACUUUAAUUAAAAAUAUAGAUGGACUCUUCUCUCUUGCUGCCACCCACCCAAGACUGACUUUGAAAAAUGCUUCAAGGAGGCAGUGCAAGUGUUUGUGAUUUGCAAAGAUGAUUAUUUUGCUGAAAGUAAAAGGCCAGUGAGGUAAAUUCUGAAAAAGGAUGCUCUGACCAGAUAGCUUUGUGUAAGUUUCAAUGCAUUUCUGCAAUUUCAAGUUAUUGUGUUAAUGCUGACGCAAUUUCUGCCUGCUUUUACAGAAAACAUAUGUUACCCAUUCUCUUUAUAAUAAUAUGCCCUUUCCAUUUUAAAUUUAAAACAUGUCCAAGUUAAGAAUAAUAAGUGCCAAAUCUCAUUUUCCUCACUUCUGCAUUCUUCAGUUACUCCUAUGACAGAUUUGGGAUCUGUCAGUGCCAAAUUCAAUUCCAGUUUGAUUGCUGCAAACCUCUGCGUUUCAGGAUUACUCAUGCUAUCCAGUGACUGUAUUUUUUUUGGUUCUUCAGCCUUUCUGCUCAUUUAAACCAUCUUUUUUUUUUUUCAGGGGAGAUCUGGUGUAUUUUGGGGUGCGAGGAAUGGUUUUCCCUUCUUGAAGGAGUAAAAGUGGCAGUGGUUAU